This 7195-nucleotide unclassified non-coding RNA is filed under the name Ooceraea biroi (clonal raider ant). RNAcentral's name for it is "guanine nucleotide exchange factor DBS, transcript variant X1". Lineage: Eukaryota; Metazoa; Arthropoda; Insecta; Hymenoptera; Formicidae. The record is from RNAcentral.
GUGUGGAGCGGCGGCAGACAUGCGGCGUACAGCGGGAUAAGGUGCGUCAGGGGCCGGGUAGCCUUCGCGCCGUUAAAACCCGCCCGUUCGCCCGGGGAACGUCGACGGGCUACCUCGACGACGUACUACGAUCAGUGCGUAGACGACACGCGGCCGCGUACCUUACGAUCGGUACGAUGUAGCUCCGAUUAACGAUCACGCAUAACUUCAUCUGUCUGUCUUGUUUUGUUUCCGACGACUGACCUCUCUCUCUCUCUCUGUCUCUUCCUCUUCGUCUCUCUCCUCGCCAUCAUCGUCGUCAUCGCGGACGGACGGACCGGGUUCUUCCGGGUAAAAUCGGCCUCACGCGUUGACCGCGCGACCGCGAGUGCGGCGCGCGAACGAAAAGAUGGCCAGCUCGCCUACCAGCAUCGAGAACCAAAUCGACAGCUUCCUGGAGCAGUUCAAGCGCAGCGCCUCCCGGGCGAUGGAGGAGACCCACGCCGCGCACCACCAUCACCCGGGCAGCUACAACGCCUGCAGCAGCAGCAUCAGCCGCAGCCGCAGCGGCAACCUGGACCUGGAGCUGCUCGAGGCAGAAGAUGUAGAGAGUAUGACAGGCGAGAUAGAGAAUGGAGACCUGACAGUUCGAGAUGUUGCAGACCUUUUGAAAGAACAGUACGCUAUUAUUGCUGGAGGAAAGACGCGAGAGGGAUGUCCAAUAAUCACAUUUCCAGACAAUGGCAAUUUUCACAACGUGACUGAUCUAGAUUAUCAGCGUCUCAUGCUAUACCUUACUUCUGUGCCAACGUUGCAGGAAGUUGAUCUUGGAUUUCAUUUGAUCAUUGAUCGGAGAAAUGACAAGUGGAACUCGGUAAAGACCGUUCUUCUGAAAAUUUCUGCAUUCUUUCCUGGUCUGGUACACGUCGCGUACGUGUUGCGACCCGCCGGAUUUUUACAAAAGGCCAUCUCUGAGGUGUCGAACAAAUUGUUCCGAGAAGAUUUCAAGUUCCGAGUUAUAUUCCUAGCUAACGUCGCAGAGCUUUACGAAUUCAUCGAGAAGGAUCAACUGACUGAGCAACUUGGCGGCAAUUUGCCGUAUUGCCAUCGCACUUGGAUAGAAAACAGAAUUAGCUUGGAAAGAUUCUCAUCCAUGACGCAGGACGUAUCUUUCGCGUUGGAUUCCUUCACGCGACGUUUAGCUGAAGUGGAGUUUCCAAACAACACUAUUGCCACGACAACGUUAUUAUCGCAGCAACAGGCUGAGUAUAAUGAGCUGAAAGAAGAGAUACUUAGCGCCGCUAGGCAUGGGGAAGCUCUACUAGAUAGCGUACGGCAGUUAAAUGGAAAGGGCACGGCUGAUAGACUGGGAAAUGUUGCUGCAGUAGAAAGAUUACUUGUUCAGUUGGAAGAAACGGAGCGAACAUUCGACUUAUUUUGGUCGCAUCACAGCUCACGUUUGAGACAUUGCCUAGCGUUGAGACAGUUUGAGCAAGAUUUUCGGGAAUUACAGGCGACACUGGACCAGCAUCUCAAGACGGCAGAGGAAAUGACGGAAGUCGGUGAAACGCAAGCGAGAGUGGAGCAAUUACUGCACGAUACAUCAGCAUUUCAACGAAUAUGCAGAGGAGACAUAGAUCGCGCGGAGGAAGUGAUAACUGCUGGUCAACAGCUACUGUCCGGCAGGCAUCAGUGUCCGGCGGACGUCGUGGAACCCAAGUGCGUAGAGCUACAGAGAGUUUGCACUAUUCUCAGUCAGCGGCUGGAAAGACGAUUGCACAUGCUGACCAAAUGCAGGGAGCUCAUGGAACGGAUAGACAAAGCCAACACCUGGUGCACGCGAGGGAUAGAGCUGCUCGCAUCGCAGAAUAGCACUACGCCGCCGGAUCAGGCACUCCAAGAGCUGCAACAGCUGAUUGAGGCCGCGGAGGAAUUCCACCAUCCCCGGUGUAUUUUCCAGGAUUCCGUCAUGCCGGAGACGAAGGCGCUCAUCACGCAAGUUCUGCAAAGGAUAGAAGACGUGUCUUUAAUGUGCGACAAGAGGAUAAUGGCUCUAAAACAGCAAUUGAUCAAACCCGCUCGACCAGUACAAACCGUCACUCCAGAACCAGUCAAACCCUUGCAAUCACUGCCUCAAAUUGUGAAGCCGGGCAGAAUUCUCAAGAAAGCCAACACCAUGCCAAAGAUGGAGAUGAGUCCUAUAGAGGGAGAAUCUUCGUCACCAGAAAGCGAGCCGCGCGACAUCGAGGCUCUGCGCUUGAAGCGUGGCCACGUGUUGGCGGAACUUGUGGAAACCGAGCGGAUCUACGUCACCGAGCUUGGCUCGAUCAUCAAGGGCUACAAGAUGGAGAUGAUGAACGAGGCGAUGGCUCAUCUGAUACCUGCGGCGCUGGUCGGCAAAGCGGACGUGUUGUUCGGCAAUUUAGAAGAAAUUUAUAUUUUUCAUGGGGAAACGUUUUUAAGGGACUUGGAGAACUGCAUUUCGAAUACCGAGCUUGUCGCGUUGUGUUUCGUUCAAAGGCGCGAGAUGUUCUUUAGAUUGUACAGUUAUUAUUGCCAAAAUAUUCCGCGAUCCGAGAGGUUGCGCGAGCAGAUACAAAACGAACCGCAGUUCCUUGCAGCCUGUCAGCAGAAGCUCGAUCACAAGCUGCCGCUCGCCGCCUAUCUCCUCAAGCCUGUCCAGCGGAUUACCAAGUACCAGUUGCUGUUGAAGGACUUGUUGAAGUACAGCGAUGAACCCUCGUGCUGCGUCAAGUUGCAAGAGGCGCUCGAUUGCAUGCUGGUCGUGUUGAAAUGUGUUAAUGACAGCAUGCAUCAAACCGCGAUAACGGGUUUUGGGGGCGAUCUGAGUGCACAGGGCGAACUGUUGUUACAAGGCUCGUUCAGCGUUUGGAGUAGCAGCAAGCGGGAGCGAUUGUUGCGACUGAAGCCGUCUCAGCGCCAUAUUUUCUUGUACGAGAAGGCUCUGAUAUUCUGCAAGCACAGCAAACCACAGGCUCACGACAAAGCCACGUACCACUUCAAGAGAUACCUCAAGAUGUCGCAGAUUGGCUUGACGGAAUCGGUGAAGGGCGAUGCCAAGCGAUUCGAGAUAUGGUUGCAGGGUAGAGCGGAAGUGCACACAAUACAGGCGCCCAGUAUCGACGUUAAGCAGUCGUGGGUACGCCAAAUCAAAGGUGUCCUGAUGUCACAAUUAGCCGAGCUCAAAGGAAAGCAGAAUUCGGCCCUCGGCAAGUCCAAUCACAAGCCGCUGCGGCAAACAAUCUCGUGGGAAGCUCAAAGCAGCCUGUCCGGCUCUCUGCGAACGCUGUCGGUCGACGGCAACAGUGUUAUUUCACACAUGACUGACGUGUCGCAAUCCACGGAAGAAGACGCCGCCUGGAGCUCGGAAAACAGCAAUACAGACGAGGAAGAUGCCUUUGGCGACCACCCGGGACCGGCUCCGGGUGGAAGAUACGUUGCGUUGGCUGAUUAUUGCGCGGUCGGGCAGUCAGAAGUGACGAUGCGGGAAGGUGAUACCUUGGAGCUCUUAAAAGUCGGCUGUGCGGGGUGGUGGUUCGUUAAAUUAAUCGGCAGCGGCGUGGAAGGCUGGGCGCCCGCGGCGUACCUGGAACCGAUCAGUCGCAAGACGUCACGCAGUUCGCAGUCGGUGAACAGUCAAGAGCCCAUAUGAAACAGGCGACUAACACACUAGAGAGUCCGCUAGUGUGUUAGACCCUCACUCGUCUCCGGAGAUCGCCAGUUGCGCUUCUCGAAACAUUUACCGGCAGAAAAGAAAAAACGGAAACGGCAUCUCGAGAGCGUCCUAAGUGGCGAUCGUUCGAUCGUUUUUGGAAAUCUUUUACAGGACACAAACGACGAUGAGUUGCGUCAUUUUGCGUAUCUUCCUUGUAUAAUACAAUGCUUGUUGAGUGACGCGUUUGCAUCUGCGAUAGCCGAGGACACAUUAAGUUGAGAAUGCGCCGAGGUUUUUACGUUUACAGAAAUUUUAUACAGAUGAAUGAACGGGAAAUGGGGGGACGGAACGGAACGGAAGCGAGCGUUCGUUGAAUUGUACAAAAGCGCGUAGCGCUUGAAUUAAAGCGAGCUGUACACGUGCACACGCACAACGGAACACGAAUUUACGACGGUCCUGUAUAUCUAUCGAUCACACGCCACGGAUUAUAUGCAGGUUUCUGUAAUAAUAAUAAUGCACAGAGUAGUUAAUCGAUAAGGUGAGGGAGAUGCGAAUCCGGCGAUAUUGAACGCGUCCUCGCUCGACUUCGUCAAGAAGGGUCUGCGCACGGGCGUAAUCUGCAAGGUGACAGUUUCAUCACUUGCGACCCGGGUAAUCAAAUAUAUCGGCUGUACGCGAUUGUUCCAAAGUUAAAGUUAUUACUGUAAGAAAUACUGCGCGGCACCUUCGUCCAUUGCGUUCCGCCGACGAUUUACUCGACGACGCGCGUAACUUUCUUCGCCAGCUGGAUUCUCGCUCGAUGUAUUCCGCAGUAAGCCGCGAGUAUAUAGGUGGAUGUCGACGAUCGUCAGACGCUGUCGUCGAUCGCAGCACUUGUGUAUCGUCGUGCGUUGCUUAGAGCCCUUUUAGAGAAAGUUGUUUAGAGUCUUAGAUGCGUCGUCGUCGCGACCGAAUAGUACAAUUUAGCGCAGUUCCGCGGGCUUUCGAGAGCGCGGUAGGUGUUUCGUUUGCGAAGGGUUGAGGGAUUGCUUCCGGGAGAUAUGAGAUCUAGAGAAUACUGCUUGCAGAGGAAUCAUCGGGGAUAGAUUCCCCUUGAAGCCUUGAAGGGGAGGAAGAAAAAUGUGUGAUAAAAUGCGUGACCGUUAGAUCAACGCUUUUGCCGAUUAAUCGCUGUAAACACAUGCGAAGAAAAAUGUUGGAUUAAUAUAUCGCCAUUCUUAUAUAUAUAUAUAAUAUAUAUAUAGAACGUUAGACAUGGAAUUGUUGACGAGUCGUUGCGACCAAAUAAACCGGAUAUCACUGCGGACUCGGCACGAUAUAAGCCAAGCUCGCCUCGAGGAAGCAGCAAUGCGGGAGCGAGCGAAGGUGAUCAGAAUCAUAUGCAACGUGUACACAAAUUUCCUAGGAAGCUAAACCGUUAACACCAAGUAUAACAUGCAAUAUCCGAUAAAUCGUAACAUCUAAUACCUUUAGGAUCGUAAUAAGCAAUCUCAGUUCUAGCGGAUGUCAUAAUCAACCCAGCAGUUUCAUAAAUCUUUAUUACGAUGUAACACAAUAUGUAUAAAGUAGCAUCAUUUGUACCGAAAUGUUUCUAUGGAUACGGAUAACGCAGUAACUUAAGGGGAUUUUAUCAGGAUUUUCGCGAUAUGAUUUUACCCCCUAACGUCGCGCGCGGUGAUUACGUCCGCUUCCCUGGCACGUGUACACACACGAGUUUCGUCGCAACUUUUGAUAUUGCCUACAUGAGUCUUUUGUUCUAUUGAUAUUAAUAAUUAAUCUGCGUAUUAUUUGUACAAAGCACGAUAUUUAUUAGGUAGAUAUAUAUAUAUUUAUUGAAUGAAGAAUUAUUUAUAUUUCGCGAUGUAUAAUAAUUUGCGGCAAUCGAUGGGUGACCGAUUCAGACUAGUUUGGACUAGUCCGAAGCAGAUUUGCGACAAUCGCCGUGGAUGCGAUUACGUUGAGUGCUAAAUAAUUUAUGCGAUUUUGUAACUUGUAUUAUACAUUCGGAAGCUGAAAGAGUCGAGUACAAUAUGCGAUUGCGAGUUUACUUCUCGUUCAGAGAGAGAGAGCUCUCCUGCAUUUAUUUGCGACUUCAGUCCUGUAAAUCCACGUUGCUCUCCGCGUCGCGGUCUCUUACUUUCCGCUGUCUCUUCAGUCGCACUUAGAGAUUCGUAGCGCACCUUUGUAUACUCAUCCAUUUGUACGCCGUCCUUGUGUACAUUGUUCGUAAGAUUUUCGACGAAAGAAGCAAUAUGUUAGUUGAGACACGGCCGUUCUCGAUGCGUCCCUUUUACGUUCUUAGUACUGACAUUAUAGGAACGCAAACUUGCGGAUGACGGCGGGGCCGGCACGAAUUCUGCGAGCUUCGCCGCGACUCACCAGUAGAAUUUUAUCCACAUCACAGUAGCGAUCCUAUGUGCACAGUUAGCACAGACGGCUGCUCGUCACACUUGACCGUUCAUGAUCAUCACACUUCUGCAAAACAUUGUACGUGGGAUUCACUUCGUCGGAGGGCCAUUCUUUCUCCAUCGGCGUGACAUCGCGAUUACGUGACCAAAUCAAGGAUACAUGCAGGCAACGCGUUCGUUCGGAUAACUAUAUCCAGCACGUAGCAAUUCCUGACGAUCAUGAGGCGACACUUCCCUCCGCAAGCUACCGGCGCAAAUAGAAGCAGGUUUCCGCGCGUGUACGGAUCUCUCACCGUAGGCGGAAUUCUAACGUCGUACGCGUAGCUAUCGCACUUGCAUGCGUACCAGAAAGGAAAGGAAAGGAAAGGACUCGUGCGAGGAGAUUUCUUCACGGAUCGCUCCUUUCCUCUCGCCCCCCGGCAGGAGAGCGGUAGUAAAGUCUAUUUUUCCAUAUAACGGGUAAUAAGUAACAAAAAAAAGAAGAAAACGUGGCUGCCGAAAUCUCUUCUAUUUGCAGUGCACGUGCGUCGAGCACGCGAUCAUUUCUCAUUAAAUCAUUAAAGUAAUCGAGUACCGUUAGGGAUACGCUUAUUCUCUUUCUUCUUCUUCUCUUGAUUGCAUAACGCUUUGUUAACGCUGGCGGACGAAAUCGCUUUCGAGCUUCUUUCUGCACUCGCCGAAUCAUUCUAAAUUCUAUAAAGAGAAGUUACUUGGAUCUCGAAACGAGAGGGGCUAUUUUUAUAUGAGGCAGUGAAGUUGCUCAAGUUACUUGCUUCAAUUAAUUUAUCAUCGCGUUACCGAAUAAGUUUCGCUUUGAGUGGCUGUUGAUCCUGCGUUAAUUAGACGAUUGACAGAUCGAGCGGUGCGUCAACGUGCGCACGACCGAGUAGAGCGUCUCGCGUGAAGAGUCACGCAGGAGAGAUCAUCGUAUGUAUAAUAAUUGUUACGCGUCUUCAUCUCCCAUCGUCAUCGAGAAGGAAAACGACGAUUUGUAUGCGUCGACCGCUAACAUGCUUACCGGCAUGUACAACAGAGAUCUUUUGUUAACACUCGUCCGAAUCUUGCGUACAAUCAAUUGUCAAAACCUGUACGAGUCUGCAACAUUAAACGCGAGAAUUCAAGUGAAUCUGCA